RNAcentral lists this ribosomal RNA (497 nucleotides) under uncultured bacterium. RNAcentral describes it as "partial 16S ribosomal RNA". It matches the Rfam family "Bacterial small subunit ribosomal RNA", at positions 28 to 507 of the family's 1533-position model. The record is from RNAcentral.
GAUGAACGCUGGCGGCGUGCCUAAUACAUGCAAGUCGAGCGAACGGACGAGAAGCUUGCUUCUCUGAUGUUAGCGGCGGACGUGUGAGUAACACGUGGAUAACCUACCUAUAAGACUGGGAUAACUUCGGGAAACCGGAGCUAAUACCGGAUAAUAUUUUGAACCGCAUGGUUCAAAAGUGAAAGACGGUAUUGCUGUCACUUAUAGAUGGAUCCGCGCUGCAUUAGCUAGUUGGUAAGGUAACGGCUUACCAAGGCAACGAUGCAUAGCCGACCUGAGAGGGUGAUCGGCCACACUGGAACUGAGACACGGUCCAGACUCCUACGGGAGGCAGCAGUAGGGAAUCGUCCGCAAUGGGCGAAAGCCUGACGGAGCAACGCCGCGUGAGUGAUGAAGGUCUUCGGAUCGUAAAACUCUGUUAUUAGGGAAGAACAUAUGUGUAAGUAACUGUGCACAUCUUGACGGUACCUAAUCAGAAAGCCACGGCUAACUACGUG